CCUGACUUAUUUUAUAAAAUUAAAUAAGUAUCUGACAUUCAGCAUACGGUGACUGUUAAAGUGUUGCGCUAAGAAUCGUGUUCAAUUUGUUUCUGGUGUAAUUAACCGAUUCUCAUAUAUUUAAACGCAGAAACUUAUCACAUCACGUAAUAAGUUACAGGAAAUAAUGGCAGCGAAUAAAAAGUACUCCAAGGACGACGUGACGAAGGCUAUGCUAGCCGUGCGCGCAGGGUCCUCAGUUAGAGCAGCAGCAGCUCAGUUCAACGUUCCGAAGAGCACCUUGAAUGACAAGAAGAAGAAUAAGUACUCGAACCCGUGCGCUGGAAAACCUGCCGUCUUGUCGGUUGAAGAAGAGGGAGAGAUCGAGAAGUGGGUGUUGGAGAUGGCAGCGCUGGACACCCCGUUAACGAAGAAAUUCUUCGAAUCAGUGUUGGGCAGUUUGUGAAACGGCUGGCUACCAGCGAUUCGUGGGAAGAAUAUUAUCGAGCGCAGGAUGAAGUGAAACGCAUGGCAGAGUUAACGAAACGUCGGAAAUUAGAAGAAAGGCGAAAAAAAAAGCAUGAGAAGAAGAGAAGGCUGCUAGAUUGAUGAUUUCAAAACAAAAAGCGGAACUGAGAAAGAAAGAAAAGGAACGUAAAAUGGUUGAAAGAAAGGAAAAAAUGCUCAAAAAACAAGAGCAAAAGCAAAAACCACCAAAGAAAUCGCCAUCAUUAUAAAAAAUUUGUAAACAUCUCCAUGCUUUAAAUCGAAUAUAUAAUUGAACUCGA
Long non-coding RNA from Aedes aegypti (yellow fever mosquito), 767 nucleotides. RefSeq lists it as uncharacterized. The record is from RefSeq and is a predicted model, not a curated record. NCBI's taxonomy places the organism in Eukaryota, Metazoa, Arthropoda, Insecta, Diptera, Culicidae. The transcript has 2 exons.